This 19-nucleotide microRNA is filed under the name Saguinus labiatus (red-chested mustached tamarin). RNAcentral describes it as "sla-miR-198". Its record names the gene sla-miR-198. Lineage: Eukaryota; Metazoa; Chordata; Mammalia; Primates; Cebidae. The record is from miRBase by way of RNAcentral.
GGUCCAGAGGGGAGCUCGA